RNAcentral lists this ribosomal RNA (460 nucleotides) under uncultured bacterium. RNAcentral describes it as "partial 16S ribosomal RNA". It matches the Rfam family "Bacterial small subunit ribosomal RNA", at positions 338 to 795 of the family's 1533-position model. The record is from RNAcentral.
CCUACGGGAGGCAGCAGUGAGGAAUAUUGGUCAAUGGGCGGGAGCCUGAACCAGCCAAGUCGCGUGAGGGAAGACGGUCCUACGGAUUGUAAACCUCUUUUGCCGGGGAGCAACGGGGUCCUUGCGAGGGCCCGAUGAGAGUACCCGGAGAAAAAGCAUCGGCUAACUCCGUGCCAGCAGCCGCGGUAAUACGGAGGAUGCGAGCGUUAUCCGGAUUUAUUGGGUUUAAAGGGUGCGCAGGCGGUCUGUUAAGUCAGCGGUCAAAGCCCGGGGCUCAACCCCGGCCCGCCGUUGAAACUGGCAGUCUCGAGUUGGAGAGAAGUAUGCGGAAUGCGCGGUGUAGCGGUGAAAUGCAUAGAUAUCGCGCAGAACUCCGAUUGCGAAGGCAGCAUGCCGGCUCCACACUGACGCUGAGGCACGAAAGCGUGGGUAUCGAACAGGAUUAGAUACCCCGGUAGUC